This is a non-coding RNA of Artibeus jamaicensis (Jamaican fruit-eating bat), 563 nucleotides long. NCBI's taxonomy places the organism in Eukaryota, Metazoa, Chordata, Mammalia, Chiroptera, Phyllostomidae. The record is from the annotation of a RefSeq genome assembly.
UCUCUUCCUGUCAGAGUCACCUCACUUUGCAGGGUCCUGAAGCUGAAGAAGCACAAGAAGAUAUUUAUUACCCAGUGGUGGAAGAAAGCAAAGAUGUUGUUCUCCAACCUUCUGAAGGUGGUCCUGGCUUCAAUGUGGCUAGGAUCCAGUACUGCCCAGAAGAUAAGUCAAGACCAACCAGCAAUGUCAGUGCAGGAGAAGGAGGCUGUGACCCUGGACUGCACAUAUGACACCAGGGAUACAACUUACUACCUCUUCUGGUACAAGCAGCUGAGCAGUGGGGAGAUGAUUUUCCUUAUUCGUCAGGACUCCUAUAACCAGAAAAAUGCCACAGAAGGUCGCUACUCACUGAAUUUUCAGAAAGCAAACCGUUCCAUCAACCUUGUCAUCUCACCUUCACAGCUGGAGGACUCUGCAGUGUAUUUCUGUGCUCUGAGUGAGCCCACAGUGAGAGGAGUGUAGGAAGGAGGUGAACCAAAACCUCAGGGCUCUGCUUGAUGCAUCCACCUGCUGUAGGGACCAUGACUGGGAAUUGUUAACACAGUCAGGAAGCAGCCAGGGCU